This 490-nucleotide ribosomal RNA is filed under the name uncultured bacterium. Its description in RNAcentral is "partial 16S ribosomal RNA". It matches the Rfam family "Bacterial small subunit ribosomal RNA", at positions 28 to 507 of the family's 1533-position model. The record is from RNAcentral.
GAUGAACGCUAGCUACAGGCUUAACACAUGCAAGUCGCGGGGCAGCAUGGGGGUUGCUUGCAAUCCCCGAUGGCGACCGGCGCACGGGUGAGUAACGCGUAUCCAACCUGCCCUUCACCACGGGAUAACCCGGCGAAAGUCGGACUAAUACCGUAUGUUGUCCAUUGACGGCAUCCGAUUUGGACGAAAGGUUUGGCGGUGAAGGAUGGGGAUGCGUCCGAUUAGCUGGACGGCGGGGUGACGGCCCACCGUGGCGACGAUCGGUAGGGGUUCUGAGAGGAAGGUCCCCCACACUGGAACUGAGACACGGUCCAGACUCCUACGGGAGGCAGCAGUGAGGAAUAUUGGUCAAUGGGCGUAAGCCUGAACCAGCCAAGUAGCGUGCAGGAUGACGGCCCUAUGGGUUGUAAACUGCUUUUAUGCGGGGAUAAAGUGGCCCACGUGUGGGUUUUUGCAGGUACCGCAUGAAUAAGGGCCGGCUAAUUCCGUG